Molecule: ribosomal RNA, 847 nt
Filed under: Streptomyces sp. Sp080513IM-18
Lineage: Bacteria; Bacillati; Actinomycetota; Actinomycetes; Kitasatosporales; Streptomycetaceae
Description: bacterial SSU rRNA
Rfam family: Bacterial small subunit ribosomal RNA
Source: RNAcentral
GCGGCGUGCUUAACACAUGCAAGUCGAACGAUGAAGCCCUUCGGGGUGGAUUAGUGGCGAACGGGUGAGUAACACGUGGGCAAUCUGCCCUUCACUCUGGGACAAGCCCUGGAAACGGGGUCUAAUACCGGAUAACACUCUGUCCCGCAUGGGACGGGGUUAAAAGCUCCGGCGGUGAAGGAUGAGCCCGCGGCCUAUCAGCUUGUUGGUGGGGUAAUGGCCUACCAAGGCGACGACGGGUAGCCGGCCUGAGAGGGCGACCGGCCACACUGGGACUGAGACACGGCCCAGACUCCUACGGGAGGCAGCAGUGGGGAAUAUUGCACAAUGGGCGAAAGCCUGAUGCAGCGACGCCGCGUGAGGGAUGACGGCCUUCGGGUUGUAAACCUCUUUCAGCAGGGAAGAAGCGAAAGUGACGGUACCUGCAGAAGAAGCGCCGGCUAACUACGUGCCAGCAGCCGCGGUAAUACGUAGGGCGCAAGCGUUGUCCGGAAUUAUUGGGCGUAAAGAGCUCGUAGGCGGCUUGUCACGUCGGAUGUGAAAGCCCGGGGCUUAACCCCGGGUCUGCAUUCGAUACGGGCUAGCUAGAGUGUGGUAGGGGAGAUCGGAAUUCCUGGUGUAGCGGUGAAAUGCGCAGAUAUCAGGAGGAACACCGGUGGCGAAGGCGGAUCUCUGGGCCAUUACUGACGCUGAGGAGCGAAAGCGUGGGGAGCGAACAGGAUUAGAUACCCUGGUAGUCCACGCCGUAAACGUUGGGAACUAGGUGUUGGCGACAUUCCACGUCGUCGGUGCCGCAGCUAACGCAUUAAGUUCCCCGCCUGGGGAGUACGGCCGCAAGGCUAAAACU